CCCCGAGCUGCACCAAACAGCUCUCAGGUUUCUGCUGAUACUGCAGCGUCAAGAAAUGGCUCGAGUUUGCUCCUUGCUCUUAUGCAUUCAGCAGCCCUCUCGCUCCUGCCACACGCGUCCAGCUCCUGCCUCCUGCUGCUGCUGCUGCUGCCGGGACGAGCCAAGACCGACUCCGAGGAUGCGGCUGCAGGACUGCGGCUCUCUUACAUCUGCCCAGCCGCCGCUGCCCGGCGCCCGGCGCUUUUUCCAGCUGUCUUAAGGGAACAGAGCAGGAAAGCCAGCACUUAUCUAGGACUCCUUCAUUUUAUUUACUAACUCAAGCCUUUUGUAAAAGUGUCUCGCAGGCAGCCCUGUAAAGCGAUCACUGUAUUAUUAAGAGGGGCUCAAGAGGAGGAGGAGGAGGGUUGAGUUUGCCGCUGCGGUGUUUGUUUUGGUUUGGUUUUUUUGGAUGCUGCUGCAAGGCGACUUGACGCAUUCCGGCACUGGCUCCUACUCCUAACCAGCGCAUCUCACUCGGAGCAGCAGCCGCAGUGAUGGUCGAGUCGGCGAGAAAAGUGGACGGAUCAAGUUAAAGGCAAAAGGAGACGGCUGGGGAGGGGACCCCAG
This is a non-coding RNA of Phalacrocorax carbo (great cormorant), 606 nucleotides long. NCBI's taxonomy places the organism in Eukaryota, Metazoa, Chordata, Aves, Suliformes, Phalacrocoracidae. The record is from RefSeq and is a predicted model, not a curated record.